Molecule: long non-coding RNA, 1379 nt
Filed under: Homo sapiens (human)
Lineage: Eukaryota; Metazoa; Chordata; Mammalia; Primates; Hominidae
Description: HSALNT0319204
Source: RNAcentral
AUUUUAGUUCUGUCUUUCAGCCUAGCACACUCCACAUUCUCAGACAUCGCUUCUUGAGAGUGUACUAACCAUCAACUAUCAUUUCACAAUGGAGAAGGGUAGGCUGGAACUUGGAUGUGCAUUGGCAGGUCUGCAUUGGCAGACCAGAUGUCACCAUACAGACAACAAUAUCCUACAGGACAGAAAAGCUUGAAAGUAAAAGAAACUUUGGUGUUUGAAUAAACCACACAUUUGUCCUGGACAACCUGCCUAUCGUUGAACUGUUACAUGAGAGAAAAAGAGAUUUCUCUCUUAUUUGAACAAUUGCAUUUUCAAGUCUUUUUGUUACAGCAGCAUAACUGAUACCCUAACCCUGACAAAUACAUUUUUAAACAAAAGGAGGAAUGCUACUAUCGUACUCUAUGCUGGUCCAGUCUUACUUGGGGUGCAGUAUUCUCAUCUGUGAAUCACAUUUCAAGGGGCCUAAAGACAAAGUAGAAGUGUUCAGAUAACAGCAACAUGAUUGGUGAGAAAUUCAAAGUUGAAGAAACUGGAAGAGCAGAUUUAGAGUAAGUAGGAGUGCCACUUUCAAAUGUCUGAGGAACUGGCCUGUGAAAGAAUGAUUCACUUUGUUCUGUGUAGUUUCAGUAGAUAGAAGUAUGGUUCAACGGGAAAACUGAUUUUGCUGAAGAGAAAGAUUUCUGGCUGUCAGGUCUGCAUAGACAUUGGAGGCACUGAGUUCCCUGCUCAUGGAGAUAUUUUUCACAGAGCCUGGAUAAUCAUUUGGCUGGAUUUGUAACAACUGUGUAUCAUACAGCAUGAAAAUGCAUUUUCUAGCUUCCCUUGAAGUGAAAUGUGAGCAAAAAUGAUGCCAGCCACUCCCAGACCGGCCCAUAGAAACCUCCCAUAUUCUUUCUUCUUCUGCUGCUGGAUAUUGACACAGGGGAUGACUUUGAAAGCUGAGUAUUGAAGAUGGCAGAAGCUGUCUUUCAGCCUUGGUCCCUGAACAACAUGUUGAGCAGAUCCCGUGGUAAUCUGGAACUGCCCUGGACUGUAGGAAUCAACUUCUUUAUACAACAAUGGCAGAGAAGUUCUACAAUAUGGAGUCCUGUGAUAAAAGAUCAUUCUCCAUAAUGUGGGUGUCCUCAUCCAAUCAGUUGAAAGCCUGAAAAGAACAAAAAGCAGAUCUUUCUUGAGCAAGAAGGAUUCUCCAACAGACUGCCUUCAGACUUCAUCUGCAGCAUCGGCUCUUCCUGGUUCUGCAGUAAACUGUUCCUGGACUUGACUACAGCUCUUUCUCGAGUCUCCAGCCUGCUGGCUUCGUCUAUGAGAUUUUGUACUCACCAGGCAUCCACAAGCACAUGAGCCAAUUCCUUAAAAUAAAUCUCUUUCUAUACAGA